Molecule: long non-coding RNA, 2317 nt
Organism: Equus caballus (horse)
Lineage: Eukaryota; Metazoa; Chordata; Mammalia; Perissodactyla; Equidae
Source: Ensembl
GUUUAUAAAAAUCUUGGAGCUUGGAACACUUCUCCCCUCCCUAAGAUGACUCACAGCUUUGCUUACCUCCACCCCAAGCACGCCAAAAAAGCAGGAGGAAAGUCCGCUGCACCGAUCUGCUCCCAUCCUGCUGUCCUCACCCACCCCGGCAGGGAUCUGGGCACAGGCCUCUCUCACUGCAGGGGGACACGGCAGAGACAGCACCCAGGGGACAACUGAAGGUGUGGGCCAGAGCAGUCACCUGCCCUCUCCCUUUCUCAUUCUGAAGAUCCUGGAAGGGAAUCUCCAUGCUGGGGCAGGCAGAAGGGCUCCUGCCUUUGGGGGAGCCAGAACGAAGUGCUGACUCACGGACAGGCAGUGCGGCUUUGCCCACCUGGAAGUGCUAAUGCCGGCUUCUCCCCUAACCUGUAUGUGACCCAGUUCUUCCAUGACACUGACAGGCUUCCUAGAGAACCAAGGGGAGGUGACAGGCACCACAUUAAGCUCCUGAAAGAGAUCAAAUGCUGUUCUUCUGGAGUUUCCAGUCCAAAAGGAGGCCUGGAAACUGGAUGACCACCAUAACACCAACAGCUCAGGUUUCAACGGCACUUGACCUUUUUCAGGGCAUUUUAUAAUACAAACCCAAGCCAGAAACCUUGGUUAAUCUGUAUUCCCUGCCUUCACCCCUGCCUUCACACACCUUCUGUACUGGCCUAACAGGUCUUUGUUGGUUGAAUCAGUUUGUGGGAGUUAAUGAGAUCCUCAGAGUGACUUGGGAGGUAGUCAGGGUUACAAAUUCAAGCUCACAGACUGUAAGAAGGGCAAGGAACUGACAUUUGUGAGGGGUAUGGGUGCCAGAUUUAGGAAAUAAAAGACAGAUUCCCAGCUAAAUUUGAAUUUCAGAUAAACAGCAAAGAAUUUUUUUAGUAUAAGUAUGUCCUGUGAAUUUGGGAUAUACUUAUAUUAAUUAUGGCCAGUGAAUAUACUUAUACUAAAAAAUUCUUUGUUGUUUAUCUGAAAUUCAACUUUAACUGGGUGUCCUGUGUUUUAUUGGCUAACCCUAACUGGAGGCCUACAUCUCUAUAUUCUCUCAUUCGAUCCUCAUACAGCCCUGGGAGGGAUCAAUUAUUAAGCUAUAUUGACCUCAGUGUACAGAUGAGAAAAAGGAUACUUUGGGAGGUAACCUCGUUUGCUUAAUGUACGACAGUUCAGAAAAAGUCAGUGGGGACUGGAACUUUGAGCCCCUGAUCUCCCAGUUGAGGGCUGCUUUACCCACUCUAUUCUUUAAGGGGCUGGAGGUUGCAGGGCUAGGAGAGGCUGUGGCUAGCCCCAAGCUGUGGAGGAUCUCCCAUCAUUAUGGUCAGAGAAGGUGGAUCCUAGAGGGGAGACUCAGCUCUUGGAACCAAGCCCAGGCAUAUGGACCAAAUCCACCCAGGUUCCUGUGGGCAACACUACACAGGCAGGCAGGGACUGCCCAGUGGCACCUGUCACCACAGUUCAUAAGUAAUAUGUUUGCACCCAAGUGGUUUAGGGUCAUGUGUAGAAUGCCUGCAUGCUACAUGAAUAAUAACAACCCGAUAAUAACAAUACAGUGAAAACAAAAACAAUAGCUAAUAUGUGCCAGGCAUUGUGAUAACUCUUUAUAUCCAUUGCUUCUUUAAAUCUCCAUCACCACCAAAAAACCCGAUAAUUUUAUUACUAUUACCAGUAGCCACCAUUUGUUGAGUGUUACCACGUGCCUAGCCUAUAUAGGUACUUUAUGUUAUUAGCUCAUUUAACAUAAACAACAACAAAAACCCUAUCUGCUGAGUAUCAUUAUCUACAUUUCAGAUGAGAAUCAGAAAAGUUAAGAAGCAGACCCAAGAUCACAUAGCUGCCAGAACUCAAACCCAGAUCUGCCUUAUUCCAAAGCCUAUGUGCUUUCCACUGCUCCAAAAAGCUCCUCUUACCCAGGGAGGCAGAACACUACGAUGCCAGUUCCAGCCAGCAAUCCCACACCCCUCCACCCAGACAAAGGAACCUGUGUCAAAACACAGCCUCACUUCCCCUUGGGGCCAAUCCAUCCUGGAAUAAAAGCUUCAGAACAAAGUCUGGGCUCCAUAAUGCCUCUGGCUGAUACCUUAUCACUGGGAGUGCCCCUGUGAUCCUAACAAUUUCUGGCCACUUCCUUACAUAAGCCAGCCUUAGGGAGUGCCUGUCAUGGUCUGAGGUCCAUCUUUCUGUUGAGGUCACUUUCCAGCUCCAUGCCCUUUGGGCUGGUUCGAUCAAUGAGCAAAACAAUAUGACCCAGAGACCCACCAGGUUCCUAAAAAUGAGAAACCAAUGUGUCAAUAUUCCC